GUAAUACCGGAUGCUCCGCUCCAUCGCAUGGUGGGGUGGGAAAUGCUUUUGCGGCAUGGGAUGGGGUCGCGUCCUAUCAGCUUGUUGGCGGGGUGAUGGCCCACCAAGGCGUUGACGGGUAGCCGGCCUGAGAGGGUGACCGGCCACAUUGGGACUGAGAUACGGCCCAGACUCCUACGGGAGGCAGCAGUGGGGAAUAUUGCACAAUGGGCGCAAGCCUGAUGCAGCGACGCCGCGUGCGGGAUGGAGGCCUUCGGGUUGUAAACCGCUUUUGUUCAAGGGCAAGGCACGGUUUCGGCCGUGUUGAGUGGAUUGUUCGAAUAAGCACCGGCUAACUACGUGCCAGCAGCCGCGGUAAUACGUAGGGUGCGAGCGUUAUCCGGAUUUAUUGGGCGUAAAGGGCUCGUAGGCGGUUCGUCGCGUCCGGUGUGAAAGUCCAUCGCCUAACGGUGGAUCUGCGCCGGGUACGGGCGGGCUGGAGUGCGGUAGGGGAGACUGGAAUUCCCGGUGUAACGGUGGAAUGUGUAGAUUCGAAAAAAAAAACCCAA
Molecule: ribosomal RNA, 548 nt
Filed under: Bifidobacterium animalis subsp. lactis
Lineage: Bacteria; Bacillati; Actinomycetota; Actinomycetes; Bifidobacteriales; Bifidobacteriaceae
Description: bacterial SSU rRNA
Rfam family: Bacterial small subunit ribosomal RNA
Source: RNAcentral